UGGUCCUGAGCCACUGCAUCUGGCCUAACUGCUUUUAACCACCUUUAUUUUUCAAGAAUUUUUGGCUUGACACAUCCAGAGCCCAAACAGAAGAGGUCUUCAGAUUUGACCCACGCAUUUCUUGCCAGAAGAAUUUAUAUAUGAAGGCGUUGUGCAAGUUAUUAAUGUUAAAAGGAAUUUCCUCCUCCAGUAAAAAAUCUGAAAUAAAAUUAAUAUUGGCACAAUCUGAGACUAAGAAGAGACACUGGCCAUCCAGGAGUUUCCAUAGGCCACGCUCCAAUGUGAGCUUUCACCACUAGAGGGCGUGAUCUGAAUUGUGCACUCAGCGUUUCUUCCAAGAGUAAUCGUUCCCAACAAGGAAAGACCGUUUUACAGCCCUCAGUACCGCAGUUCCAUGAACUUGCUCAGCUUGGCAGCCGCAGCUAAGGACACCCGUGGUAGUAAAAGCGGGAAGAUGGGCUCCCUGGCUCUUCUUACCAAACUCUGAUUGUUUGGAGCAGUUUGACCAUCAUUUAGCCAGGAAGACACCAGAAGGAUGGCGUGCUGGCCACCAUUGCAUUGCCAGCACAUGAGAGUAGGUGUGUGAAAUGUACACCCUGGGUACACAGAAUUGCCUGCAGACAAAUAUUUAUUGACAGUUAAGAAAAUGCAUUAAGAAUGAGCAUGAGUUCCUGUCCUUAAGAGAGUGCUAGAAGGGAGACUGCUGUCCCCACAAUGGCUGCAGCCCCAUUCCUUUUUCCAAGCUGCCUGGGUGAACAUUCCAGGAUCCUGACAUUCUGUGGAAAUUGAUGAGUGCUUGCUCAAAGGUCGAUGAUGUGCUACAGAUGGCAUCACCUGUUAGAGACAGAGCUUUCUCAAGAGGAGCUUUGAUUUCCUUUACUUCCCGAACUGCUAUUUCACAGUCUCUCAGUAGAUGUCAGCAGCACAGCAAACAUCUCACUGCCCAUCAUGGAAGCAGGUACCAGGGCUAUAUCCACAUUGAAAUGUUGGAUGCUCCGAAGAAAUGCCACAUGUGUCUGGGCCUCUGAUACUUAGCACACGCUCUGUACACUUGGAACAUCUUACACCAUUUUCUACCUAUUGGAAUUGUAUUUACCCUUUAAAACUCAGUAAAUGCUGUCUCCUACAUGAAGCCCUCCAGAAUGCCCUAGGUGCAGCUAAUCACUCAUUGCAUUUUAUAUCGUCUUAUGAACAUACGCUGUAACAAUGGGACUAAUGUUUCUGUAUUUCUUACCAAUCUGUGAGCCCCUUGAGUCUAUAACCAUAUUUUUUUAUCUUUGUACCUCAAUUAUCUGGCCCACAGAAGACAUACUGUUAUUGAUUGAAUCAUUAAAACAAAAUAUCUAGAA
This 1349-nucleotide long non-coding RNA is filed under the name Homo sapiens (human). Its description in RNAcentral is "HSALNT0381483". The record is from RNAcentral. Lineage: Eukaryota; Metazoa; Chordata; Mammalia; Primates; Hominidae.